RNAcentral lists this ribosomal RNA (497 nucleotides) under uncultured bacterium. RNAcentral's name for it is "partial 16S ribosomal RNA". It matches the Rfam family "Bacterial small subunit ribosomal RNA", at positions 28 to 507 of the family's 1533-position model. The record is from RNAcentral.
GAUGAACGCUGGCGGCGUGCCUAAUACAUGCAAGUCGAGCGAACAGACGAGGAGCUUGCUCCUCUGACGUUAGCGGCGGACGGGUGAGUAACACGUGGAUAACCUACCUAUAAGACUGGGAUAACUUCGGGAAACCGGAGCUAAUACCGGAUAACAUGUUGAACCGCAUGGUUCAACAGUGAAAGACGGUCUUGCUGUCACUUAUAGAUGGAUCCGCGCCGCAUUAGCUAGUUGGUAAGGUAACGGCUUACCAAGGCAACGAUGCGUAGCCGACCUGAGAGGGUGAUCGGCCACACUGGAACUGAGACACGGUCCAGACUCCUACGGGAGGCAGCAGUAGGGAAUCUUCCGCAAUGGGCGAAAGCCUGACGGAGCAACGCCGCGUGAGUGAAGAAGGUCUUCGGAUCGUAAAACUCUGUUAUUAGGGAAGAACAAAUGUGUAAGUAACUAUGCACGUCUUGACGGUACCUAAUCAGAAAGCCACGGCUAACCACGUG